This 62-nucleotide transfer RNA is filed under the name marine eukaryotic metagenome. It matches the Rfam family "tRNA", at positions 6 to 65 of the family's 71-position model. From Rfam's summary of the family: Transfer RNA (tRNA) molecules are approximately 80 nucleotides in length. Their secondary structure includes four short double-helical elements and three loops (D, anti-codon, and T loops). Further hydrogen bonds mediate the characteristic L-shaped molecular structure. tRNAs have two regions of fundamental functional importance: the anti-codon, which is responsible for specific mRNA codon recognition, and the 3' end, to which the tRNAs corresponding amino acid is attached (by aminoacyl-tRNA synthetases). tRNAs cope with the degeneracy of the genetic code in two manners: having more than one tRNA (with a specific anti-codon) for a particular amino acid; and 'wobble' base-pairing, i.e. permitting non-standard base-pairing at the 3rd anti-codon position. The record is from RNAcentral.
GCGUAGCUCAGGGGUAGAGCAUCGGUCUGUGGAUCCGAGGGUCGUGGGUUCAAAUCCCAUCG